RNAcentral lists this ribosomal RNA (208 nucleotides) under uncultured bacterium. RNAcentral describes it as "partial 16S ribosomal RNA". It matches the Rfam family "Bacterial small subunit ribosomal RNA", at positions 568 to 774 of the family's 1533-position model. The record is from RNAcentral.
CAUGUAGGCGGGCUUUUAAGUCCGACGUGAAAAUGCGGGGCUUAACCCCGUAUGGCGUUGGAUACUGGGAGUCUUGAGUGCAGGAGAGGAAAGGGGAAUUCCCAGUGUAGCGGUGAAAUGCGUAGAUAUUGGGAGGAACACCAGUGGCGAAGGCGCCUUUCUGGACUGUGUCUGACGCUGAGAUGCGAAAGCCAGGGUAAGGCAAACG